This 380-nucleotide ribosomal RNA is filed under the name uncultured eukaryote. Its description in RNAcentral is "partial 18S ribosomal RNA". It matches the Rfam family "Eukaryotic small subunit ribosomal RNA", at positions 592 to 976 of the family's 1831-position model. The record is from RNAcentral.
CAAUAGCGUAUAUUAAAGUUGUUGCGGUUAAAAAGCUCGUAGUUGGAUUUCUGCUGAGAACGACCGGUCCGCCCAUUGGGUGUGUAUCUGGCUCUUUCUUGGCAUCUUCUUGGUGAACGUUACUGCACUUGACUGUGUGGAGCGCUACCCAGGACUUUUACUUUGAGGAAAUUAGAGUGUUUCAAGCAGGCAUACGCCUUGAAUACGUUAGCAUGGAAUAAUAAGAUAGGACCUCGGUUCUAUUUUGUUGGUUUCUAGAGCUGAGGUAAUGAUUAAUAGGGAUAGUUGGGGGCAUUCGUAUUUAACUGUCAGAGGUGAGAUUCUUGGAUUUGUUAAAGACGGACUACUGCGAAAGCAUUUGCCAAGGAUGUUUUCAUUGA